AUUGAACGCUGGCGGCAUGCCUUACACAUGCAAGUCGAACGGCAGCGCGGGGCAACCUGGCGGCGAGUGGCGAACGGGUGAGUAACAUAUCGGAACAUACCCUAGAGUGGGGGAUAACGUAGCGAAAGUUACGCUAAUACCGCAUACGCACUAAGGUGGAAAGUGGGGGAUUCGCAAGAACCUCAUGCUCAUGGAGUGGCCGAUAUCUGAUUAGCUAGUUGGUGAGGUAAAGGCUCACCAAGGCGACGAUCAGUAGCUGGUCUGAGAGGACGACCAGCCACACUGGAACUGAGACACGGUCCAGACUCCUACGGGAGGCAGCAGUGGGGAAUUUUGGACAAAUGGGCGAAAGCCUGAUCCAGCAAUGCCGCGUGAGUGAAGAAGGCC
This 387-nucleotide ribosomal RNA is filed under the name uncultured bacterium. Its description in RNAcentral is "bacterial SSU rRNA". It matches the Rfam family "Bacterial small subunit ribosomal RNA", at positions 30 to 416 of the family's 1533-position model. The record is from RNAcentral.